Molecule: ribosomal RNA, 716 nt
Filed under: uncultured bacterium
Lineage: Bacteria
Description: bacterial SSU rRNA
Rfam family: Bacterial small subunit ribosomal RNA
Source: RNAcentral
GCUUGCACUCACCGGUAAAGGGUUGAGUGGCGAACGGGUGAGUAACACGUGGGCAACCUGCCCAAAAGAGGGGGAUAACACUUGGAAACAGGUGCUAAUACCGCAUAACCAUAGUUACCGCAUGGUAGCUAUGUAAAAGGUGGCUAUGCUACCGCUUUUGGAUGGGCCCGCGGCGCAUUAGCCAGUUGGUGGGGUAAAGGCUUACCAAGGCAAUGAUGCGUAGCCGAACUGAGAGGUUGAUCGGCCACAUUGGGACUGAGACACGGCCCAAACUCCUACGGGAGGCAGCAGUAGGGAAUCUUCCACAAUGGGCGAAAGCCUGAUGGAGCAACGCCGCGUGGGUGAAGAAGGUCUUCGGAUCGUAAAACCCUGUUGUUAGAGAAGAAAGUGCGUGAGAGUAACUGUUCACGUUUCGACGGUAUCUAACCUGAAAGCCACGGCUAACUACGUGCCAGCAGCCGCGGUAAUACGUAGGUGGCAAGCGUUAUCCGGAUUUAUUGGGCGUAAAGGGAACGCAGGCGGUCUUUUAAGUCUGAUGUGAAAGCCUUCGGCUUAACCGGAGUAGUGCAUUGGAAACUGGGAGACUUGAGUGCAGAAGAGGAGAGUGGAACUCCAUGUGUAGCGGUGAAAUGCGUAGAUAUAUGGAAGAACACCAGUGGCGAAAGCGGCUCUCUGGUCUGUAACUGACGCUGAGGUUCGAAAGCGUGGGUAGCAAA